UCAAUCCUUGCCCUCGCUCAGUGCGUUAAGGAUUCAGCAUUGCCACAAGCUGCGGUAUAGGUCACAGAUACAGCUCAGAUCCAGUGUGGCUGUGGCUGUGGCUGUGGUGAAAUAUGUUAAUAUUAACCCAGUAAAGGAAUCUCUGAGUUAAUAUCUAGGGAGCAAAAUAGUCGAUUUGCAAUGAAAGCUAGAAAACCACAGUUUUAAAAGGCAGUUACUUGAAGCAGAAAAAGGCCAAUAAUCUCUGUGUGUUAAAAUUUAGGAGAGAUAUCAUUGGGAACAAAGAUUCUGCUCUAGAAAUGCCAGGCAAGGAGAAAGGAGCUGAGACCAGGCAUGCCAGCUCAUUAUAAAGGAAACUAGUGGUGGGGUGGUCCAGGGACCCAAAGCUAAAUGAAUUCAUGUCCUUUCCAACCCAGCAAAAGCAAGCACCAGCCUUUCCCAGGCAAAUUGAGGGCAUAACCUCAAGAAUUCCAGGGCAGAUGUGCUGAGGGGUCAGACAGGUGGUCAUCCUCAAGAAGCUUCCCUAUACAGCAUCAGAGACCCUACACUGAGUCUAGGGCAGGUUAGGAAUGAAGUGUCCAGAGAAGCAGAAUCAAGAUACUAGAUCAAGAAAUCCAGUCCUGGGAACCAGCGUAUAGGAAAUUUAAGAGAAAACUACAGGUUGAGAAGGAAAUUUCCAUUGGAAAUAGGCCUGGAGAGUUUUUUUCCUUGGCAUACCAUGUCCUUGCCAAAGAUGGGAGCCAAGAAUACUUGGAUAGCAAGUGAAGGAACCAGGUGUAGGUAACUAGGAGUGUAACCAUCAGGAAGCUGCAAUAAAUGGAGGAUCAGCACAGCUUGAGCUCUCAUCUGGGAUACUUUAGGAACUAGAAAAGGCAGCUGGCCAGCUGAGGACCGCACUCUCGGAUUUUAAAGGACAGGCAUAGACAAUGAGGUGUGGACUGAUAUUCCUUCCUUCCUUCCACCUUUUUAUUUUUACUUUAUUUCUUUAAUAUUUAUUGAUUUACAAUGUUCUGUCAAUUUCUGCUGUACAGCAAAGUGACCCAGGUAUACAUAUAUAUAUAUAUAUACAUUCUUUUUCUUACCUUAUCCUCCAUCAUGUUCCUUCACGAGUGAUUAGACAUAGUUCCCUGUGCCACACAGAAGGAUCUCAUUGCUUACCCACUCCAAAUGCAAUGGUUUUCAUCUAUUAACCCGAAACUCCCAGUCUCUUUUAUUGGCUUAGGGGGUAAAUAGUUGAAAAGGGCCUUUCUGAAGGAAAAAAAUAAUAGAUUUUGUGGACUAACUUUAAUCAUGUAUCAUUGAAUUCAAGUUUCCAAAAUGUCAUUGUUGAUAAUGUCAGCUCUUCACAACUUUCUACUCUUUAAUCCUGCUGCAGUCUUACCACACCCAGUGAAAGCUUUCACAAUUUCACUUUCACAUAGAAUUCACCCUUAAAAUAUUUUUGCUGAAUAAGUCAGUUUUGAGAACUACUGUUUAUCAUUAGACAAAGCAGCGAUUCAUCAUUUUAACCCGUUUUUUUAGCCAUCUUUACACGUUUUUAAUUCUCCAUUUUAAAAAAGAGUAGCUUGGGAGUUCCUUUUGUGGCUCAGUGGUUAACGAACCUGAUUAGGAUCCAUGAUGCAGGUUGGAUCCCUGGCCUCGCUCAGUGGGUAAAUGAUCCGGCUUUGCCAUGAGCUGUGGUGUAGGUUGCAGACACGGCUUGGAUCCUGCAUUGCUAUGGGUAUGGUGUAGGCUGGCAGCUGUAGCUCCAAUUCAGCCUCUAGCCUGGGAACCUUCAUAUGCCACAAGUUCAGUCCUAAAAAGCAGAAAUAAAAAUAAAUAAAUAAUUUAAAAAGGUAGCUCUACUCAGUUGAAAAUCUGAUCAGCAUCUUUCUCUGCCUAAAUCAUCACUUAUAUACAGAUGUCAAAGGGCAAGUUUUCCAUUUCUUUACAAAUUUAUCUAAAAGAUAAGCAUAUAAAUAAUAUGAACUGCUGAUAUAAAUUUUUUAAAGUAUCUUUUAGUUGAAAAGUCAAGUGACGGGUUAAUUUUCAACAAAAUCCAGCAUUUCUUUCCAGGCAAUUAAUAUACAGAGAAAAUCAAAAGUCAUACUCUUUAAUAGGAGGUGGUGUUGAUGCAGUGCUCCAGGGCUGCUGAUACAUGCAGGAUGUAAAAGGGUGACCUUCCCCGUCAAUGUCAGCAUCAUAGAUUUGUUUCUUUGCAUGUACUUAACAGUAUGUAUUUUCAUUCAUUAAAAAUAAAUCUCAGAGUUAUCUUUGUGGCUCAGUGGUAACAAAUCUGACUAGUAUUCAUGAGAAUGCGGGUUCCAUCCCUGGCCUCCCUCACUGGGUUAAGGAUGUGGCGUUGCCAUGAGCUGUGGUGUAGGUGGCAGAUGGGCAGCUCGGAUCUAGCAUUGCCGUGGCUGAGGUGUAGGCCCACAGCUAUAGCUCCAAUUGGACCCCCAGCCUGGGAACCUCCGUAUGCUUCGGGUGUGGCCCUAAAAAACAAAAUAAAUUAAUUAAUAAAUAUAAAUAAAUCUCAUGUAGAGUUCAAAAAUUUUUUAUUUUUACCGGUUAUUUUACUCUAAAUUGUCUGUAUAAAAUUAAGGAGAAAAGACUAAUUAAAUUGCUGAAUUAUCAAUGUCCAUGCUUUCCAAUUUAAAAUAAAGAGCCAGGGUAGCCUUCAUCUCUCCAUCAGUCAUUCCAGGAUAUAUGUCUGGUGUGUUCCAGCUAGUGAACAUCAUGAAAUCAGUGUGUCUUUUUUGCCUUGUCAGUUUCUUUUUAAGCCCCAAACAAACAGUAUAAUCAUAAUUCUAGCAUGAAGGUGUCACCAAGUUUGAGGUUUUUUUUCUUUAAACAGAUUUUAAAUUAAUCAUCAAGCAAUUGUGUCUUUCAAUUGUGCUUUUCAUUCCUAGCUAGCACUUUUUCCCCCUCUAUUGAUGCACCAUUUUCUGGUUGUUUGAACAGUUCAUUUUCAUGUUAACCACAAGAACAGUGAUAGUUUAUACAGUCACUCUCAGGAGGUUAUUCCCUGAAUGAUAUAAAAGACUAGACCUUUGGCUGUUCCACGGUAUUAAAGCUCAUAUUUCGAAUAUGCCUCUAAGUACAUCCUACUAUUUUUAGAUGACAGCUCCCUAGUACUAGUUCAGUAGUAAAGAGAAUGUUCUAUGACCUUUUUACCAUAAUUUUCACUGGCAAAUCUCACCUCUCUGAACAUUACUGAUUUCUGGAUGUACUAAAAUUUUUAAAUCAUCUGUUUUAUUUUACUUAAUAUUCAGCUUGUGAUCCAAACUCCCUGUAUUAAAUCACAUAAUGUAUUUCCUUUAGGAAAUAGAAUUUUAAAAUUAUUACACUGUAAAUGUAUAAACGGAAAAAAUAACAUUACACACACAGUACAGAUUCUUGGGGGGGGUGUACAUAUCUGAUAUUGGCAGGAAGUAGAACUAAAAGGAAUCAAGCACUUGUAAACAAAGUGUAUAAUGACAUAAUUGUUAGGAAUUCUUAAACUCCAUUCUGGAAUCAAUGACUUUUUGUGGCAUGUAAACUAAAGUUUGAAAACACUGAUUCUUGCCGAAAUGAAAUAACUUCUACGAAGACUGGCUGUACAGGUCUCUGAGAUCACAUGAUAAAAUCCCAUUUUUCAGCUUUUCCACUCUGGCAAGCAGUGCCAUGAGCAACUUUAGCACACUCUGUUCUUCUCGUAGCAUGACCAGAUCGAAUUCUUGGGACUAUGAUGUUGACAGCACUUUAUUCCCCAAGCACAGGAGUACCAAAUUUUCCAAUCAACAGUCAUGCAUUAAAAGGUUAUGUUCUCUGGGCUUACAUAAAAGCAACAAAAUACUCAUAAAAAAAUCAGAUUAUCUAAUUUUCAUUGAGUUGGCAUGUACCAAACAUAGUUUUUUACAUUGUUUAUUUUGAAGUAAUAACAGAUUCAUAGGAAGGUGAGAAAAUAGAACAAAGAAUCCCAUGCAUCCCUUUUUACUCAGCUUCCCCCAUGAUGACAUAAAGUUCUAGAGCAAAACAAGGAAAUUAGCACAUUAGUACAUUACUGUUAGUACAUUAGCACAUGACUUUUUAAAACCUACAUUCAUUUGUUUAUGUGUGUGUAGUUUUAUGAACUUUUUAUGUACAAAUCUGUGUAAUCACCACCGCAACCAAAAUGUGUAUUUGUUCUGUCAUCACAAAAGAACUCCUUUGUGCUACCUCUUUGUAUUUGUGUCUCCCUACUCCUCUACACCUGGCAGCCACUAAUCUGCUCUCCAUCUCUCUAGGUUUAUCAUUUUGAGCAUGUUAUGUGAAUGGCACCAUACACUGUGUAAUAUUGUAAAAUAAACUUUUUUC
Molecule: long non-coding RNA, 4317 nt
Filed under: Sus scrofa (pig)
Lineage: Eukaryota; Metazoa; Chordata; Mammalia; Artiodactyla; Suidae
Description: lncRNA (ENSSSCG00000060280.1)
Source: RNAcentral